Molecule: non-coding RNA, 148 nt
Filed under: Homo sapiens (human)
Lineage: Eukaryota; Metazoa; Chordata; Mammalia; Primates; Hominidae
Source: Rfam by way of RNAcentral
GCUGGGCAUGGUGGUGAGUGCCUGUAGUCCCAGCUACUUGAGAGGCUGAGAUGGGAGGAUCACUUGAGCCCGGGAGGUCAAGGCUGCAGUGAGUCGUGACUGCACCACUGCACUCCAGCCUGGGUGACAGAGUGAGACCCUGUCUCAA